GACGAACGCUGGCGGCGUGCCUAAUACAUGCAAGUAGAACGCUGAAGAGAGGAGCUUGCUCUUCUUGGAUGAGUUGCGAACGGGUGAGUAACGCGUAGGUAACCUGCCUUGUAGCGGGGGAUAACUAUUGGAAACGAUAGCUAAUACCGCAUAACAAUGGAUGACACAUGUCAUUUAUUUGAAAGGGGCAAUUGCUCCACUACAAGAUGGACCUGCGUUGUAUUUGCUAGUAGGUUAGGUUAUGGCUCAACUAGGCGACGAUACAUAGCCGACCUGAGAGGGGGAUCGGCCACACUGGGAAUGGGACACGGCCCAGACUCCUACGGGAGGCAGCAGUAGGGAAACUUCGGCAAUGGGGGCAACGCUGACCGAGCAACGCCGGGUGAGGGAAGAAGGUUUUCGGAGCGUAAAGCUCUGUUUUAAGUCAAGAACGGGAGUGAGAGUGGAAAGUGCACACUGUGACGGUAGCUUACCAGAAAGGGACGGCUAACUACGUG
This 497-nucleotide ribosomal RNA is filed under the name uncultured bacterium. RNAcentral describes it as "partial 16S ribosomal RNA". It matches the Rfam family "Bacterial small subunit ribosomal RNA", at positions 28 to 507 of the family's 1533-position model. The record is from RNAcentral.